UGAUGAAGAUGACGAUGAUGAUGAUGAAGAAGAAGAAAACCCAGAUUUGGAAAAACUGACAUCGCGUUCGCCGCGCCCGCCGCCGAUCUCGUUGCGGAAAUGAGGACAACUCAACAACAACUCAUUGCUGGUGUCAUCACCUAAAUCCUGCUCCAAAUUUUCUUUGGAAUUUAAAUUUUCCAAACUGGAGAAAAUUUUGGGAUCGGAACCGGCGGAAGCGGCCGAAGCUCCCGUGGUCGUGUUGCGCCGUUGGGUUCCCGUCGAGGAUCCGACGGAAACGGCUUCGAAAAAAAUGCUCUGAACGUCGAAAUGAGCGAAACUUUUGCGCCAAAUCCAAGAUUUUGGAGCUUCUGGAAGUUUGGGAUCUUCGGGAUCUUUGGGAUUGAGGAGUUUUUUGAAGAUGGAAUCGUCGGGUUUUAAACGGCGCCGGGGUUUUUCUUUCGGAGCUUGGGGUUGAUCCGAAUUUGGAUCGGGAUUUUGAUUGGAAUUUUGGGAAUUUUGGGGUUUUUUGGUUCGGAAUUCGUUGAGGAUUUCAUAAAAACUCUGCUCUGGGAUUCCUUGGAUGUCGAUGGAGGAGGUGCUGCCGUACUCGCGGAACAAUCCGGCGGAAUUCCCGGAAUUCCCGCGGAUUUCCGGGAUUUCUUCGGGAUCGCAUUCGCUCAAAGUGACUUCGCUGCUGCUCCUUUGUCUCAAAGGAAUUCCCAAAAAUCCUUCUUGGAAUUCCAGAUCUUUCCAAUGAGGGACCAAGCGGCGAUGGAAGGGUUUGAAUGGAGCUUGGGAAGGUUGGGAAUUGCGGGAAAUUCCGGAAUAUUCUUUGGAGCGCGGGGGCCACUCGGCCACGCGGGCGCGGACGCCCAUCUUGGGCACCGGGGGGAUCUCGGAGCGUUGGGAGGUCAUGGUCACCCAAAAGGGAAUUGGGGAGUUUGGAAGUUCUGGAGAUCCUGGAGGUCCAGAAGGUUCUGGAGGUCCAAGAGGUCCAGGAGGUCUGGGAGGUCCAGGAGGUCUGGAAGGUUCAGGAGGUCCUGGAAGUCCUGGAGGUUCAGGAGGUCCAAGAGGUCCAGGAGGUUCUGGAGGUUCUGGAGGUUCAGGAGGUCCAAGAGGUCCAGGAGGUUCUGGAGGUCUGGGAGGUCCUGGAGGUCCAGAAGGUUCAGAAGAUCCAGAAGGUCAAGGAGGUCCUGGAGGUCCUGGAGGUUCAGAAGAUCCAGAAGGGUCAAGGAGGUUCAGGAGGUCCAGAAGAUCCAGGAGUUCCAGAGGACCUGGAGGUUCAGGAGGUUCAGGAGAUCAAGGAGGUUCAGAAGAUCCAGGAGAUCCAGAAGGUUCAGGAGGUUCAGGAGGUGCAGAAGAUCCAGGAGUUCCAGAGGACCUGGAGGUUCAGGAGAUCAAGGAGAUCCAGAAGAUCUGGGAGGUCCAAGAGGUCCUGCAGGUCAAGGAGGUCCAGGAGGUCAAGGAGGUUCAGAAGGUCCAGGAGGUUCAGGAGGUCAAGAAGGUUCAGAAGAUCCAGGAGAUGCAGAAGAUCCAAGAGUUCCAGAGGACCUGGACGUUCAGAAGGUUCAGGAGAUCCAGAAGAUCCAGAAGAUCCAGAAGAUGCAGAAGGGUCAAGGAGGUUCAGAAGGUCCAGGAGGUUCAGGAGGUCCAGGAGAUCCAGAAGGUCCAGGAGGUUCAGAAGGUCCAGGCGGUCAGGGAGGUUCAGAAGAUCCAGAAGGGUCAAGGAGGUCAAGGAGGUUCAGGAGGUUCAGAAGAUGCAGAAGGUCAAGGAGGUCCUGGAGGUCCUGGACGUUCAGAAGGUCCAGGAGGUUCAGAAGGUCCAGGAGGUUCAGAAGGUCCAGGAGGUUCAGGAGGUCCAGGAGGUCAGGGAGGUUCAGAAGCUCCAGGAGAUGCUGAAGGUUCAGGAGAUCCAGAAGAUCCAGAAGGUCCAGAAAGUCCAGAAGAUCCAGAAGGUUCAGAAGAUCCAGGAGGUCCAGGAGGUCCUGGAGGUUCAGAAGGUCAAGGAGGUCCAGAAGCUCCAGAAGCUCCAGAAGGUCAGGGAGGUUCAGAAGGUUCAGGAGAUGCAGAAGGUGCAGGAGCUCAGGGAGGUUCAGGAGAUCCCCAGGGCCCGGAGCUCCAGGAGCUCAUGGCAGGAAGCGGCGGCGGCGGCGCAUGCUGGGAGGGCUGGGGGGAAAAAGGACAAAAAUUCAGGAUUUUAUCCCAAAAAUUGAGGGAAUUUAUCCCAAAAAUUGAGGGAAUUUUAGCCAAAAAUUUCAGGAUUUUAUCCAAAAAUUGAGGGAAUUUUAUCAAAAAAA
This 2279-nucleotide long non-coding RNA is filed under the name Zonotrichia albicollis (white-throated sparrow). RNAcentral's name for it is "lncRNA (ENSZALG00000001188.1)". Lineage: Eukaryota; Metazoa; Chordata; Aves; Passeriformes; Passerellidae. The record is from RNAcentral.